Long non-coding RNA from Armigeres subalbatus, 721 nucleotides. RefSeq lists it as uncharacterized. The record is from RefSeq and is a predicted model, not a curated record. Lineage: Eukaryota; Metazoa; Arthropoda; Insecta; Diptera; Culicidae. The transcript is spliced from 3 exons.
AAGAAAGUUACGGACCGAACAGUUACUGCUAGUGCGUCAUUAAUAUUGUUCCUGAAGGAAUACCAGCUGCUGAAAAAGGUUCGCAUAGUGUAAAUGCUCGGUCACUCGUCGUCGGAAACAUCAGCAUGUACCUCCAAAAUAUGCUGGCCAGCUGUUUGGAGAUUCUGAUUUCUCCUUGGCGAAUACUUGACAAAAGUGGUAGUGCUGAUCCUGAACUCAUAGGAAAAUUGAAUGCAGUGAAACGAAUAGAAGGUAGCCUGCAGGCAGGAUCACACAGCCCCCUUCUCCCGGGUACUGACCGUAAAUGUUUUAACACAAUAUUCCGAGUGCUAACGGAACUACACAAGAUGUAAACAUUAAAACUUCUAUGAUCCAGAAUGGAAUCAUGCUGUUUUUCAGUGCAACCAUGGCGGAGAAGGGAAAAAAUCUCCUGUAAUGCUGAAGACGACAAGGUAUAAUCCAUCUGACACAGGAGGAUAACCCGCAUAAAUCCAAACGAUAGCCGAACCAUUAUUGGAACGGUAUACGUUCCAGGUUGAACCAUAAUGAUAAUGGUACUUAACCAUAACCGUACUGUAGUCUGAUAACGUUUUGACCAUAGUGACUAUGGUUUUCGUAGACCGCACUGUAUGGGCAACGGGUUGUUAAGAAUGUUAACUGUAAGAGAAAACGAUUUUCUUCAUACAUUUUUGGAGGAAAGAUUGUAUCAGUACUAUAUUGA